Long non-coding RNA from Lingula anatina, 1520 nucleotides. NCBI's taxonomy places the organism in Eukaryota, Metazoa, Brachiopoda, Lingulata, Lingulida, Lingulidae. The record is from RefSeq and is a predicted model, not a curated record.
GGUAGACCCUGUCACUGGCAUGGUUAUGAAUUUAACGGAUUUAAAAAAGUAUAUGCAGCUUGCCAUUAUGAAUAAUCUAGACCAUAAGAAUCUUGAUAAAGAUGUCCCUUUCUUUAAGGAUGUGGUAAGCACCACUGAAAAUUUGGCAGUGUACAUUUGGGAUCAACUUAGUUUGUUAUUGCCAUCCCCUGGACUACUCCAUGAAAUCAAAAUUCAUGAAACAGAAAAAAAUAUUGUCGUGUAUAGAGGAGAUCGUUGUUAACAGCAUUUCCCCCCCUGCAUUUUAAUGUAAUGUUUGUUGUAUAAAAGAGAUUUUUAUAAAGAUACAAAUAGUAACAGUUAUAGUGAGUACUUAGUACAUAUGUAAUUUUUAAUUUUCUUUUGUGUGUAAGAGGUGUAUUACGUAUGUAAUAAUUUUAUACUAGUACCUAUAUGUGAGCACAAGUUAAGUAUUUGUUCAAGUUUUUUGUGUAUAUCUCAGCAAUGCAGUCAAAUUUCAUAGAAUUAACAAUCAAAGACAGCACUUUUAAAAAGUUUGCUUUAUUUUCACAAAUUCAUCUUUAAAGCAUUUUUUAGUUUGGUCCUUUUGAUGCAAAGUUUAAUUCAGGUAUCACUCCGUGUUCUGUGGAAACUGGAAACCUGCCCCAACUAUCCAAAUACCUAUGCUGGAAAUGGCAAAAGAAAACUCGUGUGUGGGAGAUGUUAGAAAGUUUUUAUGCUGUUCUUUGUUUAGUUUCUGUUUUAGGAAACUGGAACACAUGUGGCUCUUUGCUGAAAUAUUUUAUGACUAGAAAUUUUUUUGUAUUAAAAGCAUUUUUUAUGUAUUUUAUUUGCUUUCACAUUAAUGAAAAAGCUCUAUUGUUUUAUACUGUCUGACAAUAACUAAUGAAACACUUUGUUUUCAUUUAGAAUUUUUUAAAGCAAAUUCAUUAACAUGAUUGUCUCAUGUGCUGCUGACAGAUUUUAAGCUAUGUUGACAUCAUUUGUGGUGAAAAAAAUAUCAAUCCUUUUAACAGCAUUCAGUUGUAAUAACUGUUUUAUUUUGUGUAUUUUAUACAAUUGCAAUAACUGUUUUAUUUUGUGUAUUUUAUAAAUAAUUGUAUAUAUGUACUGGAUGUCCCAGUAAAAAUGUAACCCAAGAAUGUGAACACCAUUUAUUUUUAUGUUUUAAAAAAAUUAUAUACAACCCAUAUAUUUUAAUGAAAGCUAGAGAAGUUAGCAAAAUAUCUGGUACAAACAAUGUCACUAAUUCUAGUGGCAAAAAUUAUUGUCACUUAAGUGGUCUCCUCAUUCUCUCCACCUUAACCCCCCAGAUUUUUAUUUGUGGGGGUGUUUGAAGGAAUGGGUGUACACAAACCCCCACGCCAUCCCAGAACAGCAAUCACUCUGGAAAUUGGACCUAUACAAAAAGAUUGCAUCAAGGCCAUUGACAACUUUGCCCAAAGAAUUCAAGUGUCUUCAGCAGAACAGAGCACGUCUGGAGCACUUCUAUGAAUGAUGAUAAGACCUUAGCCAGUAUA